CGCGGCCUAUCAGCUUGUUGGUGAGGUAAUGGCUCACCAAGGCAUCGACGGGUAGCUGGUCUGAGAGGACGAUCAGCCACACUGGGACUGAGACACGGCCCAGACUCCUACGGGAGGCAGCAGUAGGGAAUCUUGCGCAAUGGGGGAAACCCUGACGCAGCAACGCCGCGUGUGGGAUGACGGCUUUCGGGUUGUAAACUACUUUCAGUGAUGACGAAAAUGACGGUAAUCACAGAAGAAGGUCCGGCCAACUACGUGCCAGCAGCCGCGGUAACACGUAGGGACCGAGCGUUGUCCGGAUUUAUUGGGCGUAAAGAGCUCGUAGGCGGUUCUGUAAGUCGGAUGUGAAAACUCAGGGCUCAACCCUGAGACGCCAUCUGAUACUGCAGUGACUAGAGUCCGGUAGAGGAAGAUGGAAUUCCUGGUGUAGCGGUGGAAUGCGCAGAUAUCAGGAGGAACACCAAUGGCGAAGGCAGUCUUCUGGGCCGGUACUGACGCUGAGGAGCGAAAGCAUGGGGAGCAAACAGGAUUAGAUACCCUGGUAGUCCAUGCCGUAAACGUUGGGCACUAGGUGUGGGGUCUUCUAACGGAUUCCGGGCCGUAGCUAACGCAUUAAGUGCCCCGCCUGGGGAGUACGG
RNAcentral lists this ribosomal RNA (638 nucleotides) under uncultured Actinomycetes bacterium. Its description in RNAcentral is "bacterial SSU rRNA". It matches the Rfam family "Bacterial small subunit ribosomal RNA", at positions 232 to 885 of the family's 1533-position model. The record is from RNAcentral. Lineage: Bacteria; Bacillati; Actinomycetota; Actinomycetes.